Molecule: ribosomal RNA, 484 nt
Filed under: uncultured bacterium
Lineage: Bacteria
Description: partial 16S ribosomal RNA
Rfam family: Bacterial small subunit ribosomal RNA
Source: RNAcentral
AUUGAACGCUGGCGGCAGGCCUAACACAUGCAAGUCGAGCGGAUGAAGGGAGCUUGCUCCUGGAUUCAGCGGCGGACGGGUGAGUAAUGCCUAGGAAUCUGCCUGGUCGUGGGGGAUAACGUCCGGAAACGGGCGCUAAUACCGCAUACGUCCUGAGGGAGAAAGUGGGGGAUCUUCGGACCUCACGCUAUCAGAUGAGCCUAGGUCGGAUUAGCUAGUUGGUGGGGUAAAGGCCUACCAAGGCGCCGAUCCGUAACCGGGCUGAGAGGGUGAUCCGUCACACUGGAACUGGGACGCGGUCCAGAGUCCUACGGGAGGCAGCAGUGGGGAAUAUUGGACAAUGGGGGGAAGCCUGGUCCAGGCGUGCCGCGUGUGUGAAGAAGGUCUUCGGAUUGUAAAGCGCUUUAAGUUGGGAGGAAGGGCAGUAAGUUAAUACCUGGCUGUUUUGACGGUACCAACAGAAUAAGCACCGGCUAACUUCGUG